This 869-nucleotide ribosomal RNA is filed under the name uncultured archaeon. RNAcentral's name for it is "bacterial SSU rRNA". It matches the Rfam family "Archaeal small subunit ribosomal RNA", at positions 468 to 1336 of the family's 1478-position model. The record is from RNAcentral.
CGGUAAAACCAGCACCUCAAGUGGUCAGGAGGAUUAUUGGGCCUAAAGCAUCCGUAGCCGGCUCUGUAAGUUUUCGGUUAAAUCUAUAUGCUCAACGUAUAGGCUGCCGAAAAUACUGCACAGCUAGGGAAUGGGAGAGGUAGACGGUACUCGGUAGGAAGGGGUAAAAUCCUUUGAUCUAUCGAUGACCACCUGUGGCGAAGGCGGUCUACCAGAACAUGUUCGACGGUGAGGGAUGAAAGCUGGGGGAGCAAACCGGAUUAGAUACCCGGGUAGUCCCAGCUGUAAACGAUGCAGACUAGAUAAUGCACUGGCACAUAGCCAGUGCAGUGUCUCAGGGAAGCCGUUAAGUCUGCCGCCUGGGAAGUACGUACGCAAGUAUGAAACUUAAAGGAAUUGGCGGGGGAGCACCACAAGGGGUGAAGCCUGCGGUUCAAUUGGAGUCAACGCCAGAAAUCUUACCCGGAGAGACAGCAGAAUGAAGGUCAGGCUGAAGACCUUACCAGGCAAGCUGAGAGGUGGUGCAUGGCCGUCGUCAGCUCGUGCCGUGAGAUGUCCUGUUAAGUCAGGUAACGAGCGAGAUCCCUGCCAUUAGUUGCCAUCACUACUCUCAGGAGUAGUGGGGCGAAUUAAUGGGACCGCCGUAGUUAAUACGGAGGAAGGAAGGGGCCACGGCAGGUCAGUAUGCCCCGAAACUCUGGGGCCACACGCGGGCUGCAAUGGUAGUGACAAUGGGUUCCUAACUCGAAAGAGAGCGGCAAUCCCAAAACGCUACCACAGUUAUGACUGAGGGCUGUAACUCGCCCUCACGAAUAUGGAAUCCCUAGUAACUGCGUGUCAUUAUCGCGCGGUGAAUACGUCCCUGCUCC